RNAcentral lists this ribosomal RNA (432 nucleotides) under Actinomycetota bacterium. RNAcentral's name for it is "bacterial SSU rRNA". It matches the Rfam family "Bacterial small subunit ribosomal RNA", at positions 1 to 434 of the family's 1533-position model. The record is from RNAcentral. Lineage: Bacteria; Bacillati; Actinomycetota.
UUUUCGGAGAGUUUGAUCCUGGCUCAGGAUCAACGCUGGCGGCGUGCAUGAGACAUGCAAGUCAAACGGACGAUCAAAGCUUGCUUUGAUCGUUAGUGGCGGACGGCUGAGUAACGCGUGGGUGACCUGCCCCGAAGUGGGGAAUAACUGCCCGAAAGGGUGGCUAAUACCGCAUGUGGUGGUGCGUUCGAUCGCACCAGUAAAGCCGCAAGGCGCUUCGGGAGGGGCCUGCGUCCGAUUAGCUCGUUGGUGGGGUAACGGCUCACCAAGGCGACGAUCGGUAGGUGGUCUGAGAGGACGAUCACCCAGACUGGGACUGAGACACGGCCCAGACUCCUACGGGAGGCAGCAGUUAGGAAUUUUGUGCAAUGGGGGAAACCCUGACACAGCCACGCCGCGUGCGGGAUGAAGGCCUUCGGGUCGUAAACCGCU